Molecule: ribosomal RNA, 494 nt
Filed under: uncultured bacterium
Lineage: Bacteria
Description: partial 16S ribosomal RNA
Rfam family: Bacterial small subunit ribosomal RNA
Source: RNAcentral
GACGAACGCUGGCGGCGUGCUUAACACAUGCAAGUCGAACGGUGAAGCGCCUUCCGCAGUGUUGGGGGUGGACGAGCGGCGAACGGGCGAGUAACACGUCAGUAACCCGCCUCCGUCUUCGGGAUAGCCGCAUGAAAGUGUGGCUAAUACGGGAUAUUCUGGGUGUGUCGCAUGAUGGGUCUGGGAAAUGUAGUGUGUCGGUGGGGGAUGGGCUCGCGGCCUAGCAGCUUGUUGGUGGGGUGAUGGCCUACCAGGGCGGUGGCGGGUAGCUGGCCUGAGAGGGUGCACGGUCGCACUGGGGGUGGGCCACGGCGGGGCCUCCUACGGGAGGAGGCAGUUGCGGGUAGUGGACGAUGGGAGCAAGGCUGAUGCAGCGACGCCGCGUGGGAGAUAGGCGCCGUGGGGUUGUGCACCUCUCUCGUCGGUGACGCCGGCCUGCCUCGUCUAUGCGUGUGUUGACGGUAGCUAGAUAAGAAGCGCCGGCUAACUACGUG